Molecule: ribosomal RNA, 484 nt
Filed under: uncultured Comamonas sp.
Lineage: Bacteria; Pseudomonadati; Pseudomonadota; Betaproteobacteria; Burkholderiales; Comamonadaceae
Description: partial 16S ribosomal RNA
Source: RNAcentral
CACGUAGUUAGCCGGUGCUUAUUCUUACGGUACCGUCAUGGCUCCAGGGUAUUAACCCGAAGCUUUUCGUUCCGUACAAAAGCAGUUUACAACCCGAAGGCCUUCAUCCUGCACGCGGCAUUGCUGGAUCAGGCUUUCGCCCAUUGUUCAAAAUUCCCCACUGCUGCCUCCCGUAGGAGUCUGGACCGUGUCUCAGUUCCAGUGUGGCUGAUCGUCCUCUCAGACCAGCUACAGAUCGUCGGCUUGGUAAGCUUUUAUCCCACCAACUACCUAAUCUGCCAUCAGCCGCUCUAGUAGCACAAGGUCUUGCGAUCCCCUGCUUUCAUCCGUAGAUCUCAUGCGGUAUUAGCUACUCUUUCGAGUAGUUAUCCCCCGCUACUAGGCACGUUCCGAUGUAUUACUCACCCGUUCGCCACUCGUCAGCAUCCGAGACCUGUUACCGUUCGACUUGCUAUGUGUAAGGCAUCGCCGCAGCUUCAUCUGA